GGGGUGACUGCGUACCUUUUGUAUAAUGGGUCAGCGACUUAAUUUCAGUAGCAAGGUUAACCAUCUAGGGGAGCCGUAGGGAAACCGAGUCUUAACUGGGCGUACAGUUGCUGGGAUUAGACCCGAAACCAGGUGAUCUAGCCAUGGGCAGGUUGAAGGUGAGGUAACACUUACUGGAGGACCGAACCGACUAAUGUUGAAAAAUUAGCGGAUGACUUGUGGCUAGGGGUGAAAGGCCAAUCAAACCUGGAGAUAGCUGGUUCUCCCCGAAAGCUAUUUAGGUAGCGCCUCGGACGAAUACUACUGGGGGUAGAGCACUGUUAAGGCUAGGGGGUCAUCCCGACUUACCAACCCUUUGCAAACUCCGAAUACCAGUAAGUACUAUCCGGGAGACACACGGCGGGUGCUAACGUCCGUCGUGGAGAGGGAAACAACCCAGACCGCCAGCUAAGGUCCCAAAGUAUCACUAAGUGGGAAACGAUGUGGGAAGGCUCAGACAGCCAGGAUGUUGGCUUAGAAGCAGCCAUCAUUUAAAGAAAGCGUAAUAGCUCACUGGUCGAGUCGGCCUGCGCGGAAGAUUUAACGGGGCUAAGUGAUACACCGAAGCUGCGGCAAUGCGAUUUAUCGUAUUGGGUAGGGGAGCGUUCUGUAAGCGGCUGAAGGUGUGCUGUAAGGCAUGCUGGACGUAUCAGAAGUGCGAAUGCUGACAUGAGUAACGAUAAUGGGGGUGAAAAACCUCCACGCCGGAAGACCAAGGGUUCCUGUCCAACGUUAAUCGGGGCAGGGUGAGUCGACCCCUAAGGCGAGGCCGAAAGGCGUAGUCGAUGGGAAACGGGUUAAUAUUCCCGUACUGCUUACUAUUGCGAUGGGGGGACGGAGAAGGCUAGGUGGGCCGGGCGACGGUUGUCCCGGUUCAAGGGUGUAGGCUGAUGGUUUAGGCAAAUCCGGACCAUCUUUAAGGCUGAGACCCGAUGUCGAGCCACCACGGUGGUGAAGUCAUUGAUGCCAUGCUUCCGGGAAAAGCCUCUAAGCUUCAGAUAGUAAGGAAUCGUACCCCAAACCGACACAGGUGGUCGGGUAGAGAAUACCAAGGCGCUUGAGAGAACUCGGGUGAAGGAACUAGGCAAAAUGGUACCGUAACUUCGGGAGAAGGUACGCUGCCGGCGGUGAAGAGACUUGCUCUUGGAGCUGCUGGCAGUCGCAGAUACCAGGUGGCUGCAACUGUUUAUUAAAAACACAGCACUGUGCAAAAUCGAAAGAUGACGUAUACGGUGUGACGCCUGCCCGGUGCCGGAAGGUUAAUUGAUGGGGUUAUCUUCGGAGAAGCUCUUGAUCGAAGCCCCGGUAAACGGCGGCCGUAACUAUAACGGUCCUAAGGUAGCGAAAUUCCUUGUCGGGUAAGUUCCGACCUGCACGAAUGGCGUAAUGAUGGCCACGCUGUCUCCACCCGAGACUCAGUGAAAUUGAAAUCGCAGUGAAGAUGCUGCGUCCCCGCGGCUAGACGGAAAGACCCCGUGAACCUUUACUACAGCUUGGCACUGAACAUUGACCCUACAUGUGUAGGAUAGGUGGGAGGCUUCGAAGCAGGUACGCCAGUAUCUGUGGAGCCGUCCUUGAAAUACCACCCUUGUCGUGUUGAUGUUCUAACGUCGCCCCGUUAUCCGGGGUGCGGACAGUGCCUGGUGGGUAGUUUGACUGGGGCGGUCUCCUCCCAAAGCGUAACGGAGGAGCACGAAGGUGGGCUAAUCACGGUCGGACAUCGUGAGGUUAGUGCAAUGGCAUAAGCCCGCUUAACUGCGAGAAUGACGGUUCGAGCAGGUGCGAAAGCAGGUCAUAGUGAUCCGGUGGUUCUGAAUGGAAGGGCCAUCGCUCAACGGAUAAAAGGUACUCCGGGGAUAACAGGCUGAUACCGCCCAAGAGUUCAUAUCGACGGCGGUGUUUGGCACCUCGAUGUCGGCUCAUCACAUCCUGGGGCUGAAGUCGGUCCCAAGGGUAUGGCUGUUCGCCAUUUAAAGUGGUACGCGAGCUGGGUUUAGAACGUCGUGAGACAGUUCGGUCCCUAUCUGCCGUGGGCGCUGGAUGAUUGAAGGGAGUUGCUCCUAGUACGAGAGGACCGGAGUGAACGAACCGCUGGUGUUCGGGUUGUGUCGCCAGACGCAUUGCCCGGUAGCUAAGUUCGGAACAGAUAACCGCUGAAAGCAUCUAAGCGGGAAGCUGGCCCUGAGAUGAGUCAUCCCUGAGACUUUAAGUCUCCUGAAGGGCUGUUCGAGACUAGAACGUUGAUAGGCAGGGUGUGUAAGCGUUGUGAGGCGCUCAGCUAACCUGUACUAAUUGCCCGUGAGGCUUAACCAU
This 2352-nucleotide ribosomal RNA is filed under the name Photobacterium sp. 1_MG-2023. RNAcentral's name for it is "partial 23S ribosomal RNA". It matches the Rfam family "Bacterial large subunit ribosomal RNA", at positions 590 to 2925 of the family's 2925-position model. Lineage: Bacteria; Pseudomonadati; Pseudomonadota; Gammaproteobacteria; Vibrionales; Vibrionaceae. The record is from RNAcentral.